RNAcentral lists this ribosomal RNA (468 nucleotides) under uncultured bacterium. Its description in RNAcentral is "partial 16S ribosomal RNA". It matches the Rfam family "Bacterial small subunit ribosomal RNA", at positions 28 to 507 of the family's 1533-position model. The record is from RNAcentral.
GACGAACGCUGGCGGCGUGCUUAACACAUGCAAGUCGAACGGAAAGGCCCUGCUUUUGUGGGGUGCUCGAGUGGCGAACGGGUGAGUAACACGUGAGUAACCUGCCCUUGACUUUGGGAUAACUUCAGGAAACUGGGGCUAAUACCGGAUAGGAGCUCCUGCUGCAUGGGGGGGGUUGGAAAGUUUCGGCGGUUGGGGCUGGACUCGCGGCUUAUCAGCUUGUUGGUGGGGUAGUGGCUUACCAAGGCUUUGACGGGUAGCCGGCCUGAGAGGGUGACCGGCCACAUUGGGACUGAGAUACGGCCCAGACUCCUACGGGAGGCAGCAGUGGGGAAUAUUGCACAAUGGGCGGACGCCUGAUGCAGCAACGCCGCGUGCGGGAUGACGGCCUUCGGGUUGUAAACCGCUUUCGCCUGUGACGAAGCGUGAGUGACGGUAAUGGGUAAAGAAGCACCGGCUAACUACGUG